CAUGGUUAAGUGGGAAACGAUGUGGGAAGGCCCAGACAGCCAGGAUGUUGGCUUAGAAGCAGCCAUCAUUUAAAGAAAGCGUAAUAGCUCACUGGUCGAGUCGGCCUGCGCGGAAGAUGUAACGGGGCUAAACCAUGCACCGAAGCUGCGGCAGCGACGCUUAUGCGUUGUUGGGUAGGGGAGCGUUCUGUAAGCCUGUGAAGGUGUGCUGUGAGGUAUGCUGGAGGUAUCAGAAGUGCGAAUGCUGACAUAAGUAACGAUAAAGCGGGUGAAAAGCCCGCUCGCCGGAAGACCAAGGGUUCCUGUCCAACGUUAAUCGGGGCAGGGUGAGUCGACCCCUAAGGCGAGGCCGAAAGGCGUAGUCGAUGGGAAACAGGUUAAUAUUCCUGUACUUGGUGUUACUGCGAAGGGGGGACGGAGAAGGCUAUGUUGGCCGGGCGACGGUUGUCCCGGUUUAAGCGUGUAGGCUGGUUUUCCAGGCAAAUCCGGAAAAUCAAGGCCGAGGCGUGAUGACGAGGCACUACGGUGCUGAAGCAACAAAUGCCCUGCUUCCAGGAAAAGCCUCUAAGCAUCAGGUAACAUCAAAUCGUACCCCAAACCGACACAGGUGGUCAGGUAGAGAAUACCAAGGCGCUUGAGAGAACUCGGGUGAAGGAACUAGGCAAAAUGGUGCCGUAACUUCGGGAGAAGGCACGCUGAUACGUAGGUGAAGCGACUUGCUCGUGGAGCUGAAAUCAGUCGAAGAUACCAGCUGGCUGCAACUGUUUAUUAAAAACACAGCACUGUGCAAACACGAAAGUGGACGUAUACGGUGUGACGCCUGCCCGGUGCCGGAAGGUUAAUUGAUGGGGUUAGCGCAAGCGAAGCUCUUGAUCGAAGCCCCGGUAAACGGCGGCCGUAACUAUAACGGUCCUAAGGUAGCGAAAUUCCUUGUCGGGUAAGUUCCGACCUGCACGAAUGGCGUAAUGAUGGCCAGGCUGUCUCCACCCGAGACUCAGUGAAAUUGAACUCGCUGUGAAGAUGCAGUGUACCCGCGGCAAGACGGAAAGACCCCGUGAACCUUUACUAUAGCUUGACACUGAACAUUGAGCCUUGAUGUGUAGGAUAGGUGGGAGGCUUUGAAGUGUGGACGCCAGUCUGCAUGGAGCCGACCUUGAAAUACCACCCUUUAAUGUUUGAUGUUCUAACGUGGACCCGUGAUCCGGGUUGCGGACAGUGUCUGGUGGGUAGUUUGACUGGGGCGGUCUCCUCCUAAAGAGUAACGGAGGAGCACGAAGGUUGGCUAAUCCUGGUCGGACAUCAGGAGGUUAGUGCAAUGGCAUAAGCCAGCUUGACUGCGAGCGUGACGGCGCGAGCAGGUGCGAAAGCAGGUCAUAGUGAUCCGGUGGUUCUGAAUGGAAGGGCCAUCGCUCAACGGAUAAAAGGUACUCCGGGGAUAACAGGCUGAUACCGCCCAAGAGUUCAUAUCGACGGCGGUGUUUGGCACCUCGAUGUCGGCUCAUCACAUCCUGGGGCUGAAGUAGGUCCCAAGGGUAUGGCUGUUCGCCAUUUAAAGUGGUACGCGAGCUGGGUUUAGAACGUCGUGAGACAGUUCGGUCCCUAUCUGCCGUGGGCGCUGGAGAACUGAGGGGGGCUGCUCCUAGUACGAGAGGACCGGAGUGGACGCAUCACUGGUGUUCGGGUUGUCAUGCCAAUGGCACUGCCCGGUAGCUAAAUGCGGAAGAGAUAAGUGCUGAAAGCAUCUAAGCACGAAACUUGCCCCGAGAUGAGUUCUCCCUGACCCUUUAAGGGUCCUGAAGG
Molecule: ribosomal RNA, 1800 nt
Filed under: Shigella flexneri
Lineage: Bacteria; Pseudomonadati; Pseudomonadota; Gammaproteobacteria; Enterobacterales; Enterobacteriaceae
Description: partial 23S ribosomal RNA
Rfam family: Bacterial large subunit ribosomal RNA
Source: RNAcentral